AACCAAAGAAGAAAAUGCCACGAACAAGGCAGGCAGUGGCACCCUUCUCUUCUUACAUUUCCACGUUGAUACUUGACAUUCGUGGCGAUGUUUUAUUUGUUUAUUUAAAAUUGUUAAGUAUUAAACUUGAUAAAUGAAAUUAAAAAUUUAUCAUUUUAUCUGUUUAUCAAGAUCACAUAACUUUUGGUUAACGUGUUUUUAUCAUAUUGUACUGUAUAUUGAGGGAUUAGUAUGAACUCCAUGUAUAGUUGUUAAGGACUAGUUCAUGGAAAAACAAUUGUUUCUUAUGUAACCUUAGCCAGCUAGCCUUGUUUGUUUCCCAUGGCUCCAGCGACUGGACAGGUCAAUACAAAUAUUAUUAACGACUUUGCUUGACUAUCUAACCAUGCAUGGAAAAUAUAAUUAAUGAGAAAACGAUCAUAGUUAGUCCUCCAAAUUUGACUAUGGUGCUUACGUAUAAAAUUUGAAUCGGCUCAAGUUUAUUCCGAAGUCAAAUGAUCAGGUAAGUAGAAUUGUAAGGCGAAGACUUUCACGCUUAUCCAAUCCGAUUGAGUCUAGCGCAAUGAAAGAAUAAAGAGUAAUAUUGCAUCCACUUUUGUCUUUUUGACGACCCUCACAAAUAUUCUUGUAGCUAGGUUAAACUUACCACCAAGUAUUUCGGUCGCACCACUUGAAGCCAAUCCAAUUGAGUUUUGGUAUCAGAAUUCAUUUUUUUAGGCCAAAAUCAUUUAAUUAAUUCGAUGAUAGUCAAGAGACUCAUGUAAAACAUCAAAUAUGUCAUACACGAUCCAAAAGUGAUAAAGCACAAAAUAACAUCUGACUGUAAAAAUCAAAUCGCUAUUAAUCAGUGCACACAAAAGCUCUUUACCCCCUAAAUUUUCAGAUCCAACCACAAAUCAACCAUUUCGUAUACUUCCAUCGGAGCCAAUAAAAAUCUGAUUCAUCACUCACAGUAAGAUAAAACCAAAAACACAACUAAAUUGAGAAACACACGCCAAGAGAUACCAAGCUCAUUGGAACACAACUACAAUACAACAGAAUAGCCAUCAAGACAUUAGAGAAGGCUAGAUAGCACCAGCCAUCCAUGAAAAACACUUCCUUGUGCACACUAGCCUUACUCAAAUCAUCACCGAAUCAAGGAGAUUCUGUCCAAUCACACCAUCCUUAACAACUCAAAUAGAUUUCUUGAAAAGAGAGACAAGUCAUAAAUCCUUACAUCCCAAGUAUACAGCACCGAUGAAACUUAUGGGUGCUUUAGAUUUUUAGUCACCAUAUCUUUCAAUCUAUCAAUAACAAUAGCAUCCUCGCAAUUCGCAAAGAAAACCAAAAUUUUUCCUAAAUCCCCAAGUGGCUUGCGCUUCUUCCGUAAUUGAAGUGGAUUCUGAAAAUCAUCAUUUGAUAGGGAUUCAUUUGCAUACUUAAUUCCUUUAUUCUUGACUCCUCUUAACUGUAUUUUCUUUGUUUUUCUUCCUCUCUUUUUAUCUUUUAGUAUAGGGUUAAUAGUUUCUAUAGCUCUUAAAUUUUGAUUUAAAUUUUAUUUUAAUUUUUAAUUUUUAAAAAAUUUUAAUUACAUUUUUAAUUGUUUAAAAUUAUCUUAUUUUUAUUCUUUCAUCCAUAAAACUAUCUAAAUUAACUAAAAAUAUCAAGUGGCGCCACGUGAUGAUGUGAGUUCGCAUCUCAUGUGGUAGAAGAUGAACCAAAAUAAAAUUUUUUCAAAAUUUAGGGACUAAUGAUAAAACUAUUUUAAAAUUUUAUAUAUUUCAUAUAUAUUAUAUAAAAUAUUAACUUUAAAAUUAUAUUUUUUAUUUUUUUGUAAUAUAAUUUAUUAGUUUUUUUUAGUAGAAAUUAUAUUUUCAAAAAUGAAAAUUAG
Molecule: long non-coding RNA, 1870 nt
Filed under: Durio zibethinus
Lineage: Eukaryota; Viridiplantae; Streptophyta; Magnoliopsida; Malvales; Malvaceae
Description: long non-coding RNA (DZIB_LNC000079)
Source: RNAcentral